AGCGGUCGGAGCUGCAUUUAUGUGGUGACGGCGUGCCUUUUGCAUAAUGAGCCUACGAGUUGCCGUUGCUGGCGAGGUUAAGCCCUUAAGGGGCGGAGCCGGAGCGAAAGCGAGUCUGAAUAGGGCGCUAUAGUCAGUAGUGGCAGACGCGAAACCGUGUGAUCUACCCAUGGGCAGGUUGAAGCUGUGGUAACACAUAGUGGAGGACCGAACCCGUUGACGUUGAAAAGUCUUGGGAUGACCUGUGGGUAGGGGUGAAAGGCCAAUCAAACUCGGAAAUAGCUCGUACUCCCCGAAAUGCAUUUAGGUGCAGCGUUCAAAUAUAGUUUUAUAGAGGUAGAGCUACUGAUUGGAUGCGGGGGCUUCACCGCCUACCAAUUCCUGACAAACUCCGAAUGCUAUAAAAUGUUUAUCAGCAGUGAGGGCAUGGGUGCUAAGGUCCAUGUCCGAGAGGGAAAGAACCCAGACCAUCAGCUAAGGUCCCCAAAUGUAUGCUAAGUUGAAUAAACGCGGUUGGACUGCUUAGACAGCUAGGAUGUUGGCUUGGAAGCAGCCAUUCAUUUAAAGAGUGCGUAACAGCUCACUAGUCGAGCGACUGGGCAUGGAUAAUAAUCGGGCAUAAGUAUACCACCGAAGCUGUGGCAUUGAAUUUUAUUCAAUGGGUAGGGGAGCAUUCCAGCAGGCGCAGAAGUUGUAUCGUGAGGUAUGGUGGAGCUACUGGAAAAGCAAAUGUAGGCAUAAGUAACGAUAAAGGAGGUGAGAAACCUCCUCGCCGAUAGACUAAGGUUUCCUGAUCAACGCUAAUCGGAUCAGGGUAAGUCGGGACCUAAGGCGAACCCGAAAGGGGCAGCCGAUGGAUAGCGGGUUAAUAUUCCCGCGCCCGUAAUGCGACAAAAGUGACGGGGUGUUGUAGGUGCUAGGUACUGACGGAAUAGUACGUUGAGCCUAGCCUUCGGGCGAAGCGAAGCAUUGAAAGCGCUUCCAAGAAAAGCGAGCAUUACGGCCCGUACCGCAAACCGACACAGGUAGUCAAGGAGAGAAUCCUGAGGCGCUCGAGUGAUUCGUGGCUAAGGAACUAGGCAAAAUGACCCCGUAACUUCGGGAGAAGGGGAGCCAUGCUUCGGCGUGGCCGCAGAGAAAUGAUCCAGGCGACUGUUUAUCAAAAACACAGGGCUCUGCAAAACCGAAAGGUGACGUAUAGGGCCUGACACCUGCCCGGUGCUGGAAGGUUAAGGGGGGAGCUUAUCUUCGGAGAAGGCUUGAACCGAAGCCCCAGUAAACGGCGGCCGUAACUAUAACGGUCCUAAGGUAGCGAAAUUCC
This 1321-nucleotide ribosomal RNA is filed under the name Gammaproteobacteria bacterium. Its description in RNAcentral is "partial 23S ribosomal RNA". It matches the Rfam family "Bacterial large subunit ribosomal RNA", at positions 569 to 1968 of the family's 2925-position model. RNAcentral also lists the same sequence under 1 other name. The record is from RNAcentral. Lineage: Bacteria; Pseudomonadati; Pseudomonadota; Gammaproteobacteria.